RNAcentral lists this ribosomal RNA (727 nucleotides) under uncultured bacterium. RNAcentral describes it as "bacterial SSU rRNA". It matches the Rfam family "Bacterial small subunit ribosomal RNA", at positions 59 to 788 of the family's 1533-position model. The record is from RNAcentral.
CAGUCGAACGGGUGUACGGGGAGGAAGGCUUCGGCCGGAAAACCUGUGCAUGAGUGGCGGACGGGUGAGUAACGCGUGGGCAACCUGGCCUGUACAGGGGGAUAACACUUAGAAAUAGGUGCUAAUACCGCAUAACGGGGGAAGCCGCAUGGCUUUUCCCUGAAAACUCCGGUGGUACAGGAUGGGCCCGCGUCUGAUUAGCCAGUUGGCAGGGUAACGGCCUACCAAAGCGACGAUCAGUAGCCGGCCUGAGAGGGCGGACGGCCACACUGGGACUGAGACACGGCCCAGACUCCUACGGGAGGCAGCAGUGGGGGAUAUUGCACAAUGGGGGGAACCCUGAUGCAGCGACGCCGCGUGGGUGAAGAAGCGCCUCGGCGCGUAAAGCCCUGUCAGCAGGGAAGAAAAUGACGGUACCUGAAGAAGAAGCCCCGGCUAACUACGUGCCAGCAGCCGCGGUAAUACGUAGGGGGCAAGCGUUAUCCGGAUUUACUGGGUGUAAAGGGGGCGCAGACGGCGAUGCAAGCCAGGAGUGAAAGCCCGGGGCCCAACCCCGGGACUGCUCUUGGAACUGCGUGGCUAGAGUGCAGGAGGGGCAGGCGGAAUUCCUGGUGUAGCGGUGAAAUGCGUAGAUAUCAGGAGGAACACCGGUGGCGAAGGCGGCCUGCUGGACUGCAACUGACGUUGAGGCCCGAAAGCGUGGGGAGCAAACAGGAUUAGAUACCCU